This 1461-nucleotide ribosomal RNA is filed under the name uncultured bacterium. RNAcentral's name for it is "bacterial SSU rRNA". It matches the Rfam family "Bacterial small subunit ribosomal RNA". The record is from RNAcentral.
GAUGAACGCUAGCGACAGGCCUAACACAUGCAAGUCGAGGGGCAUCGGGGAGCGAAGCUUGCUUUGCUCCGCCGGCGACCGGCGCACGGGUGAGUAACGCGUAUGCAACCUGCCCGUUUCAGCGGGAUAACCCGGAGAAAUCCGGCCUAAUACCGCAUGUGGCCGAGGGAAGGCAUCUUCUUUCGGCCAAAGGAGGCGACUCCGGAGACGGAUGGGCAUGCGUGACAUUAGCUUGUUGGCGGGGUAACGGCCCACCAAGGCGACGAUGUCUAGGGGUUCUGAGAGGAAGGUCCCCCACACUGGUACUGAGACACGGACCAGACUCCUACGGGAGGCAGCAGUGAGGAAUAUUGGUCAAUGGGCGCGAGCCUGAACCAGCCAAGUCGCGUGAGGGAAGACGGUCCUAUGGAUUGUAAACCUCUUUUGUCGGGGAGCAAAAGACGCCACGUGUGGCGUUCCGAGAGUACCCGAAGAAAAAGCAUCGGCUAACUCCGUGCCAGCAGCCGCGGUAAUACGGAGGAUGCGAGCGUUAUCCGGAUUUAUUGGGUUUAAAGGGUGCGCAGGCGGAAGAUCAAGUCAGCGGUAAAAUUGAGAGGCUCAACCUCUUCGAGCCGUUGAAACUGGUUUUCUUGAGUGAGCGAGAAGUAUGCGGAAUGCGUGGUGUAGCGGUGAAAUGCAUAGAUAUCACGCAGAACUCCGAUUGCGAAGGCAGCAUACCGGCGCUCAACUGACGCUCAUGCACGAAAGUGUGGGUAUCGAACAGGAUUAGAUACCCUGGUAGUCCACACAGUAAACGAUGAAUACUAAUUGUUCGGGGAGAAUGAUCCCUGAGUGAUACAGCGAAAGCGUUAAGUAUUCCACCUGGGGAGUACGCCGGCAACGGUGAAACUCAAAGGAAUUGACGGGGGCCCGCACAAGCGGAGGAACAUGUGGUUUAAUUCGAUGAUACGCGAGGAACCUUACCCGGGCUCAAACGACACAGGAAUACUUUUGAAAGGAGGUAGCUCUUAGGAGUCUGUGUCGAGGUGCUGCAUGGUUGUCGUCAGCUCGUGCCGUGAGGUGUCGGCUUAAGUGCCAUAACGAGCGCAACCCCCAUCGCCAGUUACCAGCAAGUCAAGUUGGGGACUCUGGCGAGACUGCCGGCGCAAGCUGUGAGGAAGGCGGGGAUGACGUCAAAUCAGCACGGCCCUUACGUCCGGGGCGACACACGUGUUACAAUGGCAGGUACAGAGAGAAGCAAUGCGGCGACGCAAAGCGGAACUUGAAAGCCUGUCUCAGUUCGGAUUGGAGUCUGCAACUCGACUCCAUGAAGCUGGAUUCGCUAGUAAUCGCGCAUCAGCCAUGGCGCGGUGAAUACGUUCCCGGGCCUUGUACACACCGCCCGUCAAGCCAUGGAAGCCGGGAGUGCCUGAAGUGUGCAACCGCAAGGAGCGCCCUAAGGUAAAACUGGUGACUGGGGCU